This 137-nucleotide microRNA precursor is filed under the name Choloepus hoffmanni (Hoffmann's two-fingered sloth). RNAcentral's name for it is "miRNA (ENSCHOG00000015103.1)". Lineage: Eukaryota; Metazoa; Chordata; Mammalia; Pilosa; Megalonychidae. The record is from RNAcentral.
AAUGGGAGGAUGGUCUUUUCCCUGAAUUUAGUCAGAAUAUGAUGUUAGACCUGUUUGCUUUAAAAGCCAUCUUACUAUUUGCUAUGCUAUUCUGUUUCUAUGAAAAGAAGCAAGUUUUGAUACAAUCAUAAUCAUUU